Small nucleolar RNA from Molossus molossus (Pallas's mastiff bat), 127 nucleotides. The record is from RefSeq and is a predicted model, not a curated record. Lineage: Eukaryota; Metazoa; Chordata; Mammalia; Chiroptera; Molossidae.
ACACUACCUUUGAGCCCCGCUGCGCCUGCACCUUGUGUGGGGUCAGGCUGCCGCACCAGAUCACGUGCUUGUGGGUAACUGGGCGGACUGCUCCCGCCAGUCGCCCUUUUAGGUGCGAGCGACACAG